AACGAACGCUGGCGGCAUGCCUUACACAUGCAAGUCGAACGCGAAAGUGUCUUCGGACAUUAGUAGAGUGGCAAACGGGUGAGUAACGCGUGGGAAACUACCUUAUAGUACGGAAUAGCCUUGGGAAACUGGGAUUAAUACCGUAUAUUCCCUCAGGGGGAAAGAUUUAUCGCUAUAAGAUGUGCCCGCGUCAGAUUAGCUAGUUGGUGGGGUAAUAGCCUACCAAGGCAACGAUCUGUAGCUGGUCUGAGAGGACGAUCAGCCAUACUGGGACUGAGACACGGCCCAGACUCCUACGGGAGGCAGCAGUGGGGAAUAUUGGACAAUGGACGCAAGUCUGAUCCAGCAAUGCCGCGUGAAUGAUGAAGGCCUUAGGGUUGUAAAGUUCUUUAAGUGGGGAAGAUAAUGACGGUACCCACAGAAUAAGCACCGGCUAACUUCGUGCCAGCCGCCGCCGUAA
RNAcentral lists this ribosomal RNA (460 nucleotides) under uncultured bacterium. RNAcentral describes it as "partial 16S ribosomal RNA". It matches the Rfam family "Bacterial small subunit ribosomal RNA", at positions 29 to 523 of the family's 1533-position model. The record is from RNAcentral.